UCGGGGUGAGUAGAGUGGCGAACGGGUGAGUAACACGUGGGCAACCUGCCCCUCGCAGGGGGAUAACCGGAGGAAACUCCGGCUAAUACCCCGUAAGCUUUAAGGGUCGCAUGGCCCUGAAAGGAAAGGUAGCUUCGGCCAUCCGGCGAGGAAUGGGCCCGCGGUGCAUUAGCUAGUUGGUGAGGUAACGGCUCACCAAGCCGGCGACGGGUAGGGGGCGUGAGAGCGUGGCCCCCCACACGGGCACUGAGACACGGGCCCGACUCCUACGGGAGGCAGCAGUGAGGAAUCUUGGGCAAUGGGCGCAAGCCUGACCCAGCGACGCCGCGUGGGCGACGAAGGCCUUCGGGUUGUAAAGCCCUUUUCUACCGGACGAGCGAGGACGGUACGGUAGGAAGAAGUCACGGCUAACUACGUGCCAGCAGCCGCGGUAAAACGUAGGUGGCAAGCGUUAUCCGGAAUCACUGGGCGUAAAGGGCAUCUAGGCGGUCGGGUAAGUCGCGUGUGAAAGCCUCCGGCUCAACCGGGGGAGGACAUGCGAGACUGCCGGGCUUGAGGGUCGGAGAGGGACGCGGAAUUCCCGGUGUAGUGGUGAAAUGCGUAGAGAUCGGGAGGAACACCAGUGGCGAGGGCGGCGUCCUGGCCCGACACCUGACGCUGAAGUGCGAAAGCGUGGGGAGCGAACGGGAUUAGAUACCCCGGUAGUCCACGCUGUAAACGAUGGUGACUAGGUGUGGGGGGGCAUAAACCCCCUCCGUGCCGCAGCCAACGCGAUAAGUCACCCGCCUGGGGACUACGGCCGCAAGGCUAAAACUCAAGGAAUUGACGGGGGCCCGCACAAGCGGUGGAGCAUGUGGUUUAAUUCGACGCAACGCGAAGAACCUUACCUGGGCUCGAACGGCUUCUGACCGCCUCUGGAAACAGGGGUUUUCCCGCGGGGGACAGGAGUCGAGGUGCUGCAUGGCUGUCGUCAGCUCGUGUCGUGAGAUGUUGGGUUAAGUCCCGCAACGAGCGCAACCCUUGUCCUGUGUUGCAACCCGAAAGGGGCACUCUCAGGAGACCGCCAGCGAUAAGCUGAGGAAGGUGGGGAUGACGUCAAGUCAUCAUGGCCUUUAUGUCCAGGGCUACACACGUGCUACAAUGGGCGGUACAAACCGCAGCAAACCCGCGAGGGGGAGCAAAUCGGAAAAAACCGUUCUCAGUUCGGAUUGCAGGCUGCAACUUGCC
This 1227-nucleotide ribosomal RNA is filed under the name uncultured bacterium. Its description in RNAcentral is "bacterial SSU rRNA". It matches the Rfam family "Bacterial small subunit ribosomal RNA", at positions 81 to 1316 of the family's 1533-position model. The record is from RNAcentral.